GAAUCUUGCGCAAUGGUCGAAAGACUGACGCAGCGACGCCGCGUGCGGGAGGAAGCCCUUCGGGGUGUAAACCGCUGUUACUCGGGACGAAUUUCCCGAAUAGUCGGGAUUGACGGUACCGGGGGCGGAAGCACCGGCUAACUCUGUGCCAGCCGCCGCGGUAAUACAGAGGGUGCGCGCGUUGUCCGGAAUCACUGGGCGUCAAGGGCGCGCAGGCGGCUUUCUACGCGUGCGGUGAAAGCCCGGGGCUUAACUCCGGGUCUGCCGUGCGAACGGGGAGGCUUGAGUCUGGUAGAGGUCGAUGGAAUUCCGGGUGUAGCGGUGGAAUGCGUAGAGAUCCGGAAGAACACCGGUGGCGAAGGCGGUCGACUGGGCCAGAACUGACGCUGAGGCGCGACAGCGUGGGGAGCAAGCAGG
This 417-nucleotide ribosomal RNA is filed under the name uncultured bacterium. RNAcentral describes it as "bacterial SSU rRNA". It matches the Rfam family "Bacterial small subunit ribosomal RNA", at positions 359 to 776 of the family's 1533-position model. The record is from RNAcentral.